UGGAGACCCCAAUUCCCCUGAUGUGACUCCCACGUGUCACACGCCUGUAUCAAAGUACGUCAUGCACUCCAUAAGUAUAUACACCUACUAUGUGCCCACAAAAAUUAAAAAUUAGAAAAAGAAAAGAGUUUAAAAUAGAAACAAUUUUAAGUCUAUAAAUCAGUUUUUCAGCAGUCUAUUAAAGGAAUAACAGGCCGGGUGUGAUGGCUCACACCUGUAAUCUCAGCACUUCGGGAGGCUGAGGCGGGUGGAUCACCUGAGGUCAGGAGUUUGAGACCAGCCUGACCAACAUAAGAAACCCUGUCUCCACUAAAAAAAAUACAAAAUUACCCAGGCAUGGUGGCAGGCGCCUGUAAUCCCAGCUACUCGGGAGGCUGAGGCAGGAGAAUCACUUGAACUCGGGAGGCGGAGGCUGCGGUGAGCUGAGAUCGUGCCACUGGGCAACAAGAACAAAAUUCCAAUCUCAGAAGAAAAAAAAAAGGAAUAACACAUUAUGAUCGAGUAAGGUUUAUCCCAAGAAUUUGAAGAUGACUCAACAUCAGCAAGUCUAUUAAUGUAUUUCCCUUUAUUAACAUAUUAAAGAAGAGAAAACAAUAUCAUCUCAAUUAAUGAAAAAAAAAUCCAUCUCAAAAUUGAGUACUCAUCCUGAUGAGAAGAAAAACUUUUAACAAGAAAAAAAGAUACUUCCUGAAGUUGAUAAAGCUUGUCUACCAGAAACCUACAGAGUAAAUCUCACAGUUGAUGAUUAAAAAAAAAAAAACUCAUUUGUGGCAGUUACCAAUUUACUGCCUGUCAGCUCCAAAUCCACCUCUUUGCUUUGUGAAAGUGGAUGCUUGCUGUGAACGUUUUUCUUGCCAGCUGACAAAAUGCUAAGCUGUGUCAGUAGAGGGCGCUGGAGGCACACGACAGGAGGGCGUCUCACUGUCCGGUCACCAGAGUGCGGCUGCCAGCGGUAUGUGGGUGGGACACCCGGCCGCACUUGUCCACCCACACGUUUUACUGAGACCGCGCAGGAGGAUUCCUGCUGGCCAAACACGUUAUGACCUAGUAGGGUUUAUCCCAGGAAUUUAAAGAUGACUCAAAUCAGCAACUCUCUCAAUGUAUUCUACUUUAUUAACAUAUUAAAGGAGAAAAAAUAACUCAAUGGACAAAAAAACUGUUUUUCUUUUUUUUUUUUCCCUAAUUGAGUACGCAUCCAGAUUAGGAAAACAAAACAAAACAACAAAAAAAACUUUUAGUAAGGUAUCUGUCACCUAACCACCAUUAAUCUCCCAUUUUGACUAGUGGCCACGCUGUCACUUUGGGUCCCCGUGCAUGAACAUCAAUUCAGAGCCAAUGCUUCAGUCAUCUCAGAAGGCCUGGGUAGUUUGCUUUCCCCAGUGCACAGUCACUCUGUAAAUAGCACAGGUCUUCUGAGUAGGGCCUAGAGGGAGACUUACAGUAGGUACUUGCAGCAGGGCUGCAGAGUUCAUUCUUUGGGGGAAAUCCCCCCACACCCUCACACCCCAGUUCAUAAAGGGGCCCUGGGGCUGUGAACUGACUCAGUCCUAAGAGCUAGGGGAGAGGCCGUGACUCUCUGCUGUGGUGAUUCAAAUCAGGUUUCUGGCUACCAGACCCAGAAUUUUUUUCUGUUAUACUUGAGUAGGCAGCCCAACAAUUUUGUUCCUAGAGAUACCAUCAUUCAUUAGCCAUUGCCAAGAAUCCCAGUGGCCAAAGGCAUUCUGAUUACAUCUCUGCCGCCCUUCGUGGUAAAUGUGCCCACCUUAUCUCUGACAAUUAAGUGCUCCCAAUUAUCCGGAGGCACUUCAGGAUCCCAUCACCCCACUGAUACCAGGAAGCUCAUCUCAAUGACAACAUCCUUAGGGUCACACCUGCCUAUGUAGGAAAGCAAGCACAGAGCUUUUAGAGAGGCAGAUGCUCCCCUCACUAUUCUAUUUCUCAAUGUCUUAGUAAAGAAGUGUCUUCUGGGCCUUCUCAUGGUUAGGAAUGGGUGCUUGGUGGUAGACGUGUAAGUCACACAUGAUAAAUCCACUGUGACAUUCCUGUCUCCCUACAUCUUUGGAUUCUCUCCCCCAAAUCAUAGCAGGGAAGCUCUGACAUCUCCACCUCAUCAAAUGUAGGCAAAUGUUGAGUCACCUCCUGCUGCUCAAGCUAAACCAUGAAAUCCAGACUCUCUGGUAAGUGCAUCUAUAUCAAUGAAUUAAACAAAUGGAGUGUGAUAGCCUACCCUGUUGGAUCUAACACUCUUAGAAUCAACUCGACAUGUUUCCCAGGUUUCUUCCAAUAUUUAUUAGCAAAAUCUUACCAUUCUUUUGGUGUGUAAGUGAUUUCCUUCUGAGUUAGUUAUCUGAGUUUUAUGUCCCACUGUAACAUGCUAAGAUUUGACCCUAGUUAUGGAUCCAGUGACAACAGGGGUGACUGUACCAGGUCUGAAGAGUGAGCCGUUUCCAAGGCAUCCUCCCAGAUGAAGUUAUCACAGGGGUGACUGUACCAGGUCUGAAGAGCAACCCUUUCCAAGGCAUCCUCCCAGAUGAAGUUAUCACAGGGGUGACUGUACCAGGUCUGAAGAGCAACCCUUUCCAAGGCACCCUCCCAGAUGAAGUUAUCACAGGGGUGACUGUACCACGUCUGAAGAGUGACCCCUUUCCCAGGCAUCCUCCCAGAUGAAGUUAUCACAGGGGUGACUGUACCAGGUCUGAAGAGCAACCCUUUCCCAGGCAUCCUCCCAGAUGAAGUUAUCACAGGGGUGGUGACUGUACCAGGUGUGAAGAGCGAGCAACCCUUUCCAAGGCAUCCUCCCAGAUGAAGUUAUCACAGGGGUGACUGUACCAGGUCUGAACAGUGAGCCCUUUCCAAGGCAUCCUCCCAGAUGAAGUUAUCACAGGGGUGACUGUACCAGGUCUGAAGAGCGAUCCCUUUCCAAGGCACCCUCCCAGAUGAAGUUAUCACAGGGGUGGUGACUGUACCAGGUCUGAAGAGCAACCCUUUCCAAGGCACCCUCCCAGAUGAAGUUAUCACAGGGGUGGUGACUGUACCAGGUCUGAAGAGCGAGCAACCCUUUCCCAGGCAUCCUCCCAGAUGAAGUCAUCACAGGGGUGGUGACUGUACCAGGUCUGAAGAGUGACCCCUUUCCCAGGCAUCCUCCCAGAUGAAGUUAUCACAGGGGUGACUGUACCAGGUCUGAAGAGCAAGCAACCCUUUCCAAGGCACCCUCCCAGAUGAAGUUAUCACAGGGGUGACUGUACCAGGUCUGAAGAGCGAGCAACCCUUUCCAAGGCAUCCUCCCAGAUGAAGUUAUCACAGGAUCUUCAGGCAAAGGAAGUGCGGUGUCCUCAGACACAGGAGGGCAGGGUACUUCCGCUGCCAAGGGAGCUUUAAAGUGAUUUGCCAGUUUCAUCCGAAUCUGAGCAGGUGUUCUCAUUCCAAGUUUCAGGGUCCUGUUCUUUCCCUGUGAGUGCUCUAACUUGCAUAUCAGUAACUUGGCAUGACUAUGACAAACUCAUGUGUAAUCCUGACUAAAACACCAGAACAGUGGUGUUGUAUUAACAACCAAUAAUAGAAAAAGGAUUCCCCAUUGUCACUACUACAACCAACAAGUACACUGGACUUUCUAGCUAGACAACAAGCCAUGAAAUGAAAACAGACAUAUAAAUAAUAAAAAGGAUAAUAUAAAAUUGUUAUUUGCAUGCAGUAAGAUUUUCCACCUAGGAAAUCCAAAUGAAUCCACUGAAAAACCAUUAGAGGGUUUAACAAAUCCACAGCAAUACACAAAAGAAAUACCUUUCCACAUACCAUACACUUAGAGACAGAACCAAGAAGGUUUCGCAAUGUUAUCACAGAAAAACCUGGAAACAACCUAAAUCUACUGACAGAAUGGUUCACUAAAUUUCAGUAUAUUCUGAGUGUGAGAUAUAUUCUAUCAAUCAGCUGUACUGCUACAGAAAACAUUAAAAACAAAGUAAAUGUAAGAAGAAAACAACAGGCUCUGGAACACUAUAUAUAGCAUGAUCCAAUUUACUUAAGAAACAAAUACUAGGCCGGGUGCAGUGGCUCAUGCCUGUAAUCCCAGCACUUUGGGAGGCUGAGGCCAGCAGAUCACUUGAGGGCAGGAGUUCAAGACCAGCCUGACCAACAUGGUGAAACCCCAUCUCUACCAAAAAUACAAAAAUUAGCCAGGUGUGGUGGCAGGUGCAUGUAAUCCCAGCUACUCGGGAGGCUGGCAGGAGAAUCACUUGAACCUGGAGGCAGAGGUUGCAGUGAGCCGAGAUCGCGCCAUUGCACUCCAGCCUGGGCAACAGAGCAAGACUCCUCUCAAAAACAAAACAAAACAAAAAACCACCACUGAGAAUAGGUAUGUUUUUAGGUAUAAGUAUGUAUAUGAAAAGAAAUACAUGUGGAAGAAACUUCCCUUCAGAAAGGGGAGUAAUUUAAGAGGGCUUUCACUUUCUUUAACCUAUGUAUUUCUGUCUGAAAUUGUAGCUGGACGUGGUGGUGCACACCUGUAGUCCCAGCUACUCAGGAGGCUGAGGUGGGAGGAUCACUUGGGCCCAGGAGUUUGAGGCUGCAGUGAGCUAUGGUGGCACCACUGCACUGAAGCCUGGGAAACAGAGAGAGACCCUGUCCCUAAAAAAUAAAAAAUAAAAAAAUAUAUACUUAUGUAUUGCUUGUGUUAUUGGGCUGAAGAUCUGGGAAACUCUGGCGUCAUCCCUUCGUGAUCCAUUUAUCUACCAACUCACUGAUAAAUAUCCAACACCUGCCAGGUAUCUCACACUUGAAACAGGUAACAUGAUACAUAAUUCUUAAAGUGCAGGGCUACAGAACCCUAAUUCUAAUAGCCUACCAGGUAUUUUUUUCAGUAAAGACCUGCAAGAGAGCAUCUACAAAUUCUCCUCUUUAACCACACAUUUGGAAUCCUUGACUGAAAACUCAUUAGCUUUUUCCAAAGGCAAGCUGUAUUAUAACUAAGCUGGAAAAUUUUCUCUUUAUUCAUCCAAUAGGGUUAUUUUGAAAGACUCCAGCUGGGGCUGGGCACGGUGGCUCACGCCUGUAAUCCCAGCACUUUGGGAGGCCGAGGCAGGUGGAUUACCUGAGGUCAGGAGUUCUAGACCAGCCUGGUCAAC
Molecule: long non-coding RNA, 5120 nt
Filed under: Homo sapiens (human)
Lineage: Eukaryota; Metazoa; Chordata; Mammalia; Primates; Hominidae
Description: HSALNT0317665
Source: RNAcentral